RNAcentral lists this ribosomal RNA (496 nucleotides) under Veillonella dispar. Its description in RNAcentral is "bacterial SSU rRNA". It matches the Rfam family "Bacterial small subunit ribosomal RNA", at positions 28 to 495 of the family's 1533-position model. Lineage: Bacteria; Bacillati; Bacillota; Negativicutes; Veillonellales; Veillonellaceae. The record is from RNAcentral.
GACGAACGCUGGCGGCGUGCUUAACACAUGCAAGUCGAACGAAGAGCGAUGGAAGCUUGCUUCUAUCAAUCUUAGUGGCGAACGGGUGAGUAACGCGUAAUCAACCUGCCCUUCAGAGGGGGACAACAGUUGGAAACGACUGCUAAUACCGCAUACGAUCUAACCUCGGCAUCGAGGAUGGAUGAAAGGUGGCCUCUAUUUAUAAGCUAUCACUGAAGGAGGGGAUUGCGUCUGAUUAGCUAGUUGGAGGGGUAACGGCCCACCAAGGCGAUGAUCAGUAGCCGGUCUGAGAGGAUGAACGGCCACAUUGGGACUGAGACACGGCCCAGACUCCUACGGGAGGCAGCAGUGGGGAAUCUUCCGCAAUGGACGAAAGUCUGACGGAGCAACGCCGCGUGAGUGAUGACGGCCUUCGGGUUGUAAAGCUCUGUUAAUCGGGACGAAAGGCCUUCUUGCGAAUAGUUAGAAGGAUUGACGGACCGAAUAGAAAGCCACG